Molecule: non-coding RNA, 152 nt
Organism: Tinamus guttatus (white-throated tinamou)
Lineage: Eukaryota; Metazoa; Chordata; Aves; Tinamiformes; Tinamidae
Source: RefSeq, a predicted model, not a curated record
ACUCCAGGAACACCAUGGACAGGUUCGACUUGGAAUGAUGCGUCACCUUUAUGUGGUCAUUGAUGGAUCAAGAACUAUGGAGGACCAAGACUUAAAACCCAACAGACUUACUUGCACUUUAAAGUUAUUGGAGUAUUUUGUUGAAGAGUACU